This is an RNA transcript of Phragmites australis (common reed), 3085 nucleotides long. RefSeq lists it as uncharacterized. Lineage: Eukaryota; Viridiplantae; Streptophyta; Magnoliopsida; Poales; Poaceae. The record is from RefSeq and is a predicted model, not a curated record. The transcript is spliced from 6 exons.
AGAAGAACUAGUCUUUGCAAAACGGGAUUGCUUUGCUUGGUUUUGUAGGGGAGUGGUGAACUGAAACGUAAGGUCGUGAAGCGUAGUAAACUAGAGGACAGAGAGCUGCUGGAGCUUGCCCAAGGAUACCACAAAGUGGUUGCAGAAAGGGAUGCAGGUGAGCUUAUGAUGUGAAAUUAUGAUUGCUAUAUACUUGCUCUCCAACAGUUAAAUGUAGUGGAUGGAUCCGUCCCUUAAAUCAUCACCAGCAAAACAUAACAUGUAUACUUUGUUUAGUUGGAUGGAUGCCUUCUAAUGUUCAUGUAAUAAUUAAGUAAUGUUAAUUGAAUUUCCAGCCUGGACUGAUUAGCAUAGAUAAUUCAGUGUCAUUAAAAAUCAUGUACAACUUGAUUACUUUGCAUUUGAACUGUUGCACGCACAAUGUGCUCCUAGAAUUUAUCUACCUAACAUUUGUCGUCUACGUUUGGGUCCUUGCAACCAUUGCACUGAAUCUCUUUGUAGGUAGUUUCAGCGUCGAAACAAAAUCCUAAAGGUAUGUUCCAUAGUUGUCAUGGCGUCGGGAUAUCGUCGUCAUAAUGCCGAUAUAUCGGCGCGGAGGAGAACGGUGUCUCGCCACAGGGAUGCCAUGAUUUUGUGCGUUGUGGCGGGCGCAAUAGAGGGAGAGGGGUACCUAUAUAAUCGAGGCCGACUCCGUCCGGCGUCCACCUCUCUUGUUUGGAUCUGCGUUCGCCGCCCGUGCUCGGUGCAGAUCCAGUGGGAGCAGGCGACACAGGGAGGGCGGAGGGAGCAAGCGGUGCAGAGAGGGCGUAGGCGACACGGGGAUCGAGGAGGGUGGAGGGGCUAGAGUAAGUAGAAGGGUGGCUGGGUUGGCUUAUAUGGGCCAAAUUUGUGUAUUCUUCUUUUCUUUCUUUUUUCUUUUUUAUAUAUACUUUGAGAGAUAAUGUGUAUUAGGAAAAAGUAUUGAAAGGUAUGUAUUCGCCACGCCGAUGUGUGUAUGGCGUCGCCAUGCUGCGCACCAUAGGCAUUGUAAAGUUGUGAAGGUGGUGGGUCGCCGCGCCUUGCCAUGUCAUUGUAACAACUAUGGAAGAGUGCCAAAGGGUGUCCACAGAGGGGCAGAACAUGCGUAUGGAAUUGUCUGACAAAUUCAAUAAUGCUAUAAAGGAUGUGAACAUCAAGCUUGAGGAGCAAAAAAAUGAAUGCAUCGCUCAGCUAGAAGAGAACAAUUUGUAAGAUACUAAGCUUAGGCAUAUCUUGAACAUUAGGGGUUUCAUUAGUUGAUUGUAUUAGCAACUCCAUUAGUGCAAGUCCCUUCUGACUUUUGUACAGGCACGAUAGUUCUCACUAGCUUUAUAUGCUGUUGUGGUGCUGUGGGUAAACUUGUUAUGAUAUAUAUAGUUGAAAGAGAAGAUGCUGGAACUUGAGCUUGCUGAUUUGAAAAUUCAACAACAUCAAGAGAAGGCCGCUCAGGAACAUACCCAAAUGAAGUUAUAUGCUGAGCAAGUUUCUCAAAUUAUCACUACUGAGAAGAACCUACGGUUGCAACUAGCUGCUGAUGAAGAAAGAUUUUAGCAGUUUCAGGUGAAUUUUUAAAAUUUCAAGUAAUUUAAAAUUUUCUGCUAUAACAUUUCAUGACGCCCUGUCAAAAAGCAAUGAAGUCUUUGAAACUUACAAGCAGGAGAUGGAAAAGAUGGUGACAGUGAUAAAGAAUCUAAAGAAGGAGAAUGAAUUUUUGAAGGGAAAAUGUGAGAACUCAGAUAUUGCUCUCGUAAAGCUCAUUGAAGAGGUAAUUGUGCUGAAACAGGGUGCUCUAUUGAGACUACAGCUUUCUAUAACUAUAUCUGCCUACCUUUUUAGCAUUUCACAUUGAUCUCCUUUACCAUGUAUGAAUAACUACCCUUGAUUUUCUAGCUUAUACAGUUUCAUUUAUCUUCAUAUGCAUACUAGGGAAAUCUUGUGCCAGUUGAUCUUGCAUAAUAUGUAAGCUGUUUCUGCUAAUUUCGAUGUUUCUGUAGAGUGAGCUAACGAAGAAUUCAAAUAGAGAGGUCGAAAAAUCAAAAGAAGCUUGAAUAACUGUGUCAAUCGUUACAGGCAGAAAGGAAACAUGACCCUUCCGGCGGUAUUCCUGACGCCAUUUCUAAACAAGCAGAUCUGACAAUGGAUCGUGAAGGAUCAUAGUGCUUUAUGUGCUUCAUGUUGUGCAUGCCAAAAUACCAUUGCUGCCGCAUAUAGCUUGCCGAGGUUUCUGAACCUUGAGAAACGGAUAUGUGACUUCUAUGAAAGGAGAUCGUCUAAGGUAGUUAUACCGUGACGUGACCGCUGAUAUGUGGACUAACUUUUAGUGAGCUUUACAUGUCAACAACGAAGUCAUCCCAUACAGUUACAUCACAUGAACCACUUCCGACUUUUAUCCUGCUUUGCUCGUGAUCUUUUAGUGUUCUGGACACGUUUGUCACAGAUUGAGCUAUCGACCUACAUGUCUUGCUGUUCCAGAGUACGGAGGGCUUGAUACUUGUCCAUCUGUGGCGUUUUGAGAUUGUAGCCAGAGGUGCAUUCCUCCACAGCAUGCUAGUGACUUGCUAUUACUACAGGCAUAUCAACCUCGACUGAUUCUUCCUUCGUGGGUGCUUAUCAAUUUAUUGGUAUUCGUGAAGAGAAAAUAGAGAUAAUCCCGUCCUGAAGGGAAUGAUCUUGAAAAUUCCUUCGUGACGGGAACCAUAAAGGAAAACCGUUGAAAUGCUGAAGAGAAGGAAAAUCCCUUCGUGAAAAGAUUCUAGAUCCUGACGGAAAUCGGUUGUAGAUGGUCUUAAGAAGUAAUCCCAUGAGUCCAUGAUUGGUAAGCUGGUCUGUACUCCGCUUAUAGCGAGGUUGCACUGCAUUCCGUUUCAACCACGCACUAUUACUGUUCUUUAACCUCCCCUCACGGGAGCCAAAACUAACAUAAAGUCCUCAAACAAGUUACUUCCUCGGAUCCAAAAUAUAAGUUGUUUUAGCCUUCCAUACCCUUCAUCAAAUAUAAGUUGUUUUAGCUUUCCACUUAUACGCUUAUCUGACUUUUGUUAGUAAAGGGUCAAUAAUAGAAGGUGUA